Gopherus flavomarginatus (Mexican gopher tortoise) is the source of this 504-nucleotide long non-coding RNA. RefSeq lists it as uncharacterized. The record is from RefSeq and is a predicted model, not a curated record. NCBI's taxonomy places the organism in Eukaryota, Metazoa, Chordata, Testudines, Testudinidae. The transcript has 3 exons.
UGCCUGGCAUCAACAGGAUUCACGCUGUCACUGCUCUCGAUCACUUUCCAUCUCACUUCAGGGCUGGACUCCGUCCCCGCGACUUCUUUUCCCUUGCUUCCUGGCCACAGGUCCAUGGGGCUCAUGGAUGGAGAAGUUUGCUGGGCUGUGGGGGUCCCUGAAGAACUAGCUCAGCAUGUGAAUGACUGGGACGUAUGUGGGGGCCUGACUGUGGGUUGGAGUGUCCAGGAGGACCCCAGGGAAGGGAAUAGGGGGAUUAGGGAUAGAGGAGGGAGGGGUUACCAAGGUGCAUUGUGGGAAUGUGGGAUUUAGAGAGCCCAGAGUGGAUGGGUGUUGGCGGUUGGACGACCCCACAGUGGUUGAAAAGGGGAACCUGGCAGGUUUGGGUGUAGCAGAGAUUGAAGAUGAGGAACCUCACACCCUGGGGAUGAUCUGGGGGAGUGGGAGGAUGGGAAAGUGGGGCCCAGCAAUGAGAAAUGGGUUGGAGGCAAUUAGGGGUGGGGC